AAGACGUUAGUAAAACAAUUACACUACCUUGUCAUGGCAGAAUCACGGACUAAGCCCUCCGUACGUCUUA
RNAcentral lists this transfer RNA (70 nucleotides) under Epicrionops cf. marmoratus UMMZ 190478. RNAcentral describes it as "tRNA-Asp". The record is from RNAcentral. Lineage: Eukaryota; Metazoa; Chordata; Amphibia; Gymnophiona; Rhinatrematidae.